GACGAACCGUCCUAACGUUGUUCGGAAUCACUGGGCUUAAAGGGCGCGUAGGCGGGCGAGCAAGUCCGGGGUGAAAUCUUUCGGCUUAACCGGAAAAGUGCCUUGGAUACUGCUCGUCUCGAGGGAGGUAGGGGCAUGUGGAACUUCCGGUGGAGCGGUGAAAUGCGUUGAUAUCGGAAGGAACGCCGGUGGCGAAGGCGGCAUCCUGGACCAACACUGACGCUGAGGAGCGAAAGCCAGGGGAGCAAACGGG
This 253-nucleotide ribosomal RNA is filed under the name uncultured bacterium. RNAcentral's name for it is "partial 16S ribosomal RNA". It matches the Rfam family "Bacterial small subunit ribosomal RNA", at positions 524 to 776 of the family's 1533-position model. The record is from RNAcentral.